Molecule: unclassified non-coding RNA, 310 nt
Filed under: plant metagenome
Description: partial contains 5.8S ribosomal RNA, internal transcribed spacer 2, and large subunit ribosomal RNA
Rfam family: 5.8S ribosomal RNA (bases 1-105)
Source: RNAcentral
GAAAUGCGAUAAGUAGUGUGAAUUGCAGAAUUCAGUGAAUCAUCGAAUCUUUGAACGCACAUUGCGCCCCUUGGUAUUCCAUGGGGCAUGCCUGUUCGAGCGUCAUUUGUAUCCUCAAGCUCUGCUUGGUGUUGGGUGUUUGUCCCCGUCUCCGCGCGUGGACUCGCCCCAAAGUGAUUGGCAGCCGGCGUACUGGUCCCGGAGCGCAGCACAUGUCGCGCAAACGAGUGCCUUGGUACGGCGGCGUCCAUAAGCCCCUCUCUCACGCUCUUGACCUCGGAUCAGCUAGGGAUACCCGCUGAACUUAAGC